CACGUGGAUAAUCUGCCCUCAGGUGGAGGAUAACCUCGGGAAACUGAGGAUAAUACUCCAUAGAUCUGGGAUGCUGGAACGCUUCCAGGUCGAAAGCUCCGGCGCCUGAGGAUGGGUCUGCGGCCUAUCAGCUUGUAGGGGGCUUUAAAGACCCCCUAGGCUUCGACGGGUACGGGCUAUGGGAGUANGUCGCCCGGAGAUGGAUUCUGAGACACGAAUCCAGGCCCUACGGGGCGCAGCAGUCGCGAAAACUCCACAAUGUGGGAAACCACGAUGGGGGAACUCCCAGUGCGAACACUUUGUGUUCGCUGUUCUCGUGCUUNNAAAAGCACGUGAAGUAAGGGCCGGGUAAGACGGGUGCCAGCCGCCGCGGUAAUACCCGCGGCCCGAGUGGUGCUCAUUAUUAUUGAGUCUAAAACGUCCGUAGCCGGUCGGGUAGAUUCCUGGGUAAAUCGAAUCGCUUAACGAUUCGAAUUCCGGGGAGACCGCCUGACUAGGGACCGGGAGAGGCGCGAGGUACUCCUGGGGUAGGGGUAAAAUCUUGUAAUCCUAGGAGGACCACCAGUGGCGAAGGCGUCGCGCUAGANCGGAUCCGACGGUCANGGACGANGCCCANGGGCGCAAACGGNAUUAGAUACCCCGGGUAGUCCUGGGUGUAAACGCUGCANGCNUGGUGUCNNGGGUNCUACGGGGGCGCC
This 698-nucleotide ribosomal RNA is filed under the name uncultured archaeon. RNAcentral's name for it is "bacterial SSU rRNA". It matches the Rfam family "Archaeal small subunit ribosomal RNA", at positions 97 to 795 of the family's 1478-position model. The record is from RNAcentral.